GAUGAACGCUGGCGGCGUGCCUAAUACAUGCAAGUCGAGCGAACAGACGAGGAGCUUGCUCCUCUGACGUUAGCGGCGGACGGGUGAGUAACACGUGGAUAACCUACCUAUAAUACUGGGAUAACUUCGGGAAACCGGAGCUAAUACCGGAUAAUAUAUUGAACCGCAUGGUUCAAUAGUGAAAGACGGUUUUGCUGUCACUUAUAGAUGGAUCCGCGCCGCAUUAGCUAGUUGGUAAGGUAACGGCUUACCAAGGCAACGAUGCGUAGCCGACCUGAGAGGGUGAUCGGCCACACUGGAACUGAGACACGGUCCAGACUCCUACGGGAGGCAGCAGUAGGGAAUCUUACGCAAUGGGCGAAAGCCUGACGGAGCAACGCCGCGUGAGUGAUGAAGGUCUUCGGAUCGGAAAACUCUGUUAUUAGGGAAGAACAAAUGUGUAAGUAACUAUGCACGUCUUGACGGUACCUAAUCAGAAAGCCACGGCUAACUACGUG
Molecule: ribosomal RNA, 497 nt
Filed under: uncultured bacterium
Lineage: Bacteria
Description: partial 16S ribosomal RNA
Rfam family: Bacterial small subunit ribosomal RNA
Source: RNAcentral